This 433-nucleotide ribosomal RNA is filed under the name uncultured bacterium. RNAcentral's name for it is "partial 16S ribosomal RNA". It matches the Rfam family "Bacterial small subunit ribosomal RNA", at positions 29 to 507 of the family's 1533-position model. The record is from RNAcentral.
AACGAACGCUGGCGGCAGGCCUAACACAUGCCAGUCGAGCGAGGACUUCGGUUCUAGCGGCGGACGGGUGAGUAACGCGUGGGAAUGUGCCCUUCUCUACGGAAUAGCCCUGGGAAACUGGGAGUAAUACCGUAUACGCCCUAUUGGGGAAAGAUUUAUCGGAGAAGGAUCAGCCCGCGUUGGAUUAGGUAGUUGGUGGGGUAAUGGCCUACCAAGCCGACGAUCCAUAGCUGGUUUGAGAGGAUGAUCAGCCAUACUGGGACUGAGACACGGCCCAGACUCCUACGGGAGGCAGCAGUGGGGAAUCUUAGACAAUGGGGGCAACCCUGAUCUAGCCAUGCCGCGUGAGUGAUGAAGGCCUUAGGGUUGUAAAGCUCUUUCAGCUGGGAAGAUAAUGACGGUACCAGCAGAAGAAGCCCCGGCUAACUCCGUG